CGUCUCUAAGCUAUGGUAGAGACGCGGCGUACGGCUCAGUAACACGUGGCUAACCUACCCUUAGGACGGGGACAACCCCGGGAAACUGGGGCUAAUACCCGAUAGGCGAGGAGGCCUGGAAUGGUUCUUAGUCGAAAAGGCGUUGAAACCAUGCUUUUCGACGUUGCCUAAGGAUGGGGCCGCGCCCGAUCAGGUUGUUGGUGGGGUAACGGCUCACCAAGCCUAUAACCGGUACGGGCCGUGAGAGCGGGAGCCCGGAGAUGGGCACUGAGACAAGGGCCCAGGCCCUACGGGGCGCAGCAGUCGCGAAAACUCCGCAAUGCGCGAAAGCGUGACGGGGCUACCCCGAGUGCCGUCCGCUGAGGAUGGCUUUUCCCCGGUGUAAUGAGCCGAGGGAAUAAGGAGAGGGCAAGUCUGGUGUCAGCCGCCGCGGUAAUACCAGCUCUCCGAGUGGUAGGGAUGAUUAUUGGGCUUAAAGCGUCCGUAGCCGGCUUAGCAAGUCUCCUGUUAAAUUCAGCGACCUAAUCGUUGAGCCGCGGGAGAUACUACUAGGCUAGGAGGCGGGAGAGGCCGACGGUAUUCUCGGGGUAGGGGUGAAAUCCUAUAAUCCCGGGAGGACCACCAGUGGCGAAGGCUGUCGGCUAGAACGCGCUCGACGGUGAGGGACGAAAGCUGGGGGAGCGAACCGGAUUAGAUACCCGGGUAGUCCCAGCUGUAAACGAUGCGGGCUAGGUGUUGGGGUGGCUACGAGCCACUUCAGUGCCGCAGGGAAGCCAUUAAGCCCGCCGCCUGGGGAGUACGGCCGCAAGGCUGAAACUUAAAGGAAUUGGCGGGGGAGCACCACAAGGCGUGAAGCUUGCGGUUCAAUUGGAUUCAACGCCG
Molecule: ribosomal RNA, 882 nt
Filed under: uncultured archaeon
Lineage: Archaea
Description: bacterial SSU rRNA
Rfam family: Archaeal small subunit ribosomal RNA
Source: RNAcentral